Molecule: RNA transcript, 2091 nt
Organism: Zingiber officinale
Lineage: Eukaryota; Viridiplantae; Streptophyta; Magnoliopsida; Zingiberales; Zingiberaceae
Gene name: CMP-sialic acid transporter 4-like
Exons: 16
Source: RefSeq, a predicted model, not a curated record
AUCCGCGGUGACACAUGCCUGGCACGUCCGCCCGGCCCCGUUACCAGUUCCGGGCAUGCUAAGGAUUGGCAAAGUUCUGCUUUGAGUUCGUAGCUCUGAAACGAGACGAGUCCUCGCAUUAUUUUCCACCUGCCGAAGUCUCACUCGCCGGUUCAUUUUGCACGUUUACGAUAUUUCUUUUUGAUAUAAAUCAAAUUGGAAGUCCACGCUCCCCGUCCUCGUCCUCUUCUCUCCGGGUUCCCGGUAGUUCUCCUUGCCCUUUCUCUUCCCCAACCUGGGAGCCAGAUCUGAAGGCGAUUGGAGUUGGAUCUCGCUUCCAAUUUCGCUCGCUGGGAUCAGAUCUGAUCUAGAGAUCGUACACUCCCGGAGGAAUGCGAUUGAUGGUGAGCUAGGAUUGCUGCUGUUGUCAUUGUAACAGCUGAGAGGAACCAUUGCUGUGUGGUGCAUCAAAUAUUGGCACAAUAUUUACUUAAAAUGAUGAACGGGACAAUACAAUGUAAUAAAUGUGGCUCCAAGUUGGUUGCACUUAGUCCAAGAUCUGUAUCAAGGGCUUAUGAUAAGCAUAGAAGCCAAGUGUCAUCCAAACACCGAGCUCUCAACUUCCUACUUGUUAUUGGUGAUUGUAUCUUAGUUGGUCUUCAGCCUAUACUUGUCUACAUGUCCAAGGUGGAUGGGAAGUUCAAGUUUAGUCCUAUCAGUGUGAAUUUUUUAACAGAAUUUGUCAAAAUUCUCUUUGCCGUUGUCAUGCUAAUUUUUCAGGCUAGACACCAGAAGGUUGGAGAGAAAAACCUUUUAUCAAUUGCCACUUUUGUACAGGCAGCUAGGAAUAAUGUUCUUCUGGCUGUUCCUGCUCUUCUAUAUGCAAUUAACAACUAUUUGAAAUUUAUUAUGCAGUUAUACUUUAACCCUGCAACUGUGAAGAUGUUAAGCAACAUGAAGGUUUUGGUGAUUGCUAUACUUUUAAAGAUUAUAAUGAGAAGACGUUUUUCCAUAAUUCAGUGGGAGGCACUUGCACUUUUACUGAUUGGGAUAAGUGUGAAUCAGCUUAAAUCAUUGCCAGAGGGUUCCAUGGCUAUGGGUUUUCCAGUUACAAUGAUUGCUUAUGUCUAUACUUUGGUUUUUAUUACUGUUCCAUCAAUGGCUUCGGUCUUCAAUGAAUAUGCUUUGAAAAGUCAGUUCGAUACAAGUAUAUACCUACAGAACUUAUUUCUCUAUGGCUAUGGCGCAAUAUUCAACUUUUUGGGCAUUAUAGGAACUGCCAUUUUCAAAGGGCCUAGUAGCUUCAAUAUUCUUGAAGGGCACUCAAGAGCGACCAUGUUUUUGAUAUGCAUCAAUGCAGCACAGGGAAUAUUGUCUUCCUUCUUCUUCAAAUAUGCUGACACCAUUUUGAAGAAAUAUUCAUCUACUGUCGCUACAAUUUUCACUGGAAUUGCUUCUGCUGCUUUAUUUGGCCAUACACUGACCAUGAACUUUAUAUUGGGGAUUUCUAUAGUCUUUAUAUCUAUGCACCAGUUCUUUUCUCCUAUGGCCAAAGUCAAAGAUGAGAUAGCAGUUGUAUCAUCAGAAAAGAUGGAGGCUCAACGUCUCAGGUUGAAAGAAGAUUCUUUUGUAAACAUGGCUGCUGGUACUGCUGAAGAUGUGACCCAUCGUGCUGGACAUGAUGAGAGACAAUCACUUUUGCCCAUAUGAUGCUCCAAAACCUCUCAAUGGUGUUUUAUCUUACAACCAAAAAUGCAAUCCGUCACAUUUAUAGUAUAAUUUUGGAGAUCCUCUUUUAUCUUGCAAUCUGAGCCACUAACUUGGGAAUAUAUUUUUCGGCAAAGCAAAAGCAAGGAAGUCUUCUUGUGUGAAAUGGCUGAAUGUAGCAAUCGUUACUUGAAAAUACCGAGGAUGGUAUUAAAUAGGAAGUCUUCUUUGUGUGAAAUGGCUGAAUGGACCAAAACAUUAUAAUGGUGCGGCAUUCAAGAACUAGAAUUGCCUAGAAACCAAUUUCCAUAAACUUCACUAUCGCCCAUUAUUUUCUGUUACAUUUUGCUCUGUACGCAUUUUGAUGUAUUGUUCUUUUAUCUUAGAUGUAUGUUUUCAAGCAUA